CCAGCCGCUGCGGUAAUUCCAGCUCCAAUGGCAUAUAUUAAAGUUGUUGCAGUUAAAAAGCUCGUAGUUGGAUUUCUGGUAGGGCGCCAAUGUCAGCUGAUGCUUGUGCAGCGGUGCCCUUCCAUCCUUCUGUUAACGUUUCUGAUAUUGAUUUAUUGGUCUCGGGCUCAGAUAUUUUACCUUGAGAAAAUUAGAGUGUUCCAGGCAGGCUUGCGCCGGAAUACAUUAGCAUGGAAUAAUAGAAUAGGACUUUAGUCUCCUUUGUUGGUUUGAGGGACUGAAGUAAUGAUUAAUAGGGAUAGUUGGGGGCAUUAGUAUUUAAUUGUCAGAGGUGAAAUUCUCGGAUUUGUUAAAGACUAACUUAUGCGAAAGCAUUUGCCAAGGAUGUUUUCAUUAAUCAAC
Molecule: ribosomal RNA, 402 nt
Filed under: uncultured eukaryote
Lineage: Eukaryota
Description: SSU rRNA
Rfam family: Eukaryotic small subunit ribosomal RNA
Source: RNAcentral